AGAAUUUUUCUCAAUGGGGGAAACCCUGAAGGAGCGACGCCGCGUGAAGGAUGAAGGUCUUCGGAUCGUAAACUUCUGUCAUUGGUGAACAAGGCCCACACAGUAACUGGUGUUGGGAUUGAUAGUAGCCGAAGAGGAAGAGGCGGCUAACUCUGUGCCAGCAGCCGCGGUAAUACAGAGGCCUCAAGCGUGGUUCGGAUUCAUUGGGCGUAAAGGGUGCGUAGGUGGCGAGGCAAGUCUGGUGUGAAAUCCCGGGGCUCAACCCUGGAACUGCACUGGAUACUACUUUGCUUGAGUACUGGAGAGGAGAUUGGAAUUUACGGUGUAGCAGUGAAAUGCGUAGAUAUCGUAAGGAAGACCAGUGGCGAAGGCGAAUCUCUGGACAGUUACUGACACUGAGGCACGAAGGCCAGGGGAGCAAA
Molecule: ribosomal RNA, 422 nt
Filed under: uncultured bacterium
Lineage: Bacteria
Description: bacterial SSU rRNA
Rfam family: Bacterial small subunit ribosomal RNA
Source: RNAcentral